UACGGGGGGGGCAAGCGUUGUUCGGAAUUACUGGGCGUAAAGGGUUUGUAGGUGGCUUGCUAAGUCAGACGUGAAAUCCCUCAGCUUAACUGGGGAACUGCGUCUGAUACUGGUGAGCUUGAGUGCAGGAGAGGAACGCGGAAUUCCAGGUGUAGCGGUGAAAUGCGUAGAUAUCUGGAGGAAUACCGGUGGCGAAGGCGGCAUCCUGGACCAACACUGACGCUGAGGCGCGAAAGCUAGGGGAGCAAACGGG
This 253-nucleotide ribosomal RNA is filed under the name uncultured bacterium. RNAcentral describes it as "partial 16S ribosomal RNA". It matches the Rfam family "Bacterial small subunit ribosomal RNA", at positions 524 to 776 of the family's 1533-position model. The record is from RNAcentral.